RNAcentral lists this transfer RNA (86 nucleotides) under Streptomyces tirandamycinicus. RNAcentral describes it as "tRNA-Arg". The record is from RNAcentral. Lineage: Bacteria; Bacillati; Actinomycetota; Actinomycetes; Kitasatosporales; Streptomycetaceae.
GCCUCUGUUCCCUUGACCUGCCGAAACGUCUGAGACGCACGGGGCCUCCGGAGCCGUGUGCGCAGGUUCGAAUCCUGCCGGGGGCA